AUUGAACGCUGGCGGCAUGCUUUACACAUGCAAGUCGAACGGCAGCGCGGGCUUCGGCCUGGCGGCGAGUGGCGAACGGGUGAGUAAUGCAUCCGAACGUGCCCAGUAGUGGGGGAUAGCCCGGCGAAAGCCGGCUUAAUACCGCAUACGACAUGAGGGUGAAAGCGGGGGACCGAAAGGCCUCGCGCUAUUGGCGCGGCCGAUGUCGGAUUAGCUAGUUGGUGGGGUAAAGGCUUACCAAGGCGACGAUCCGUAGCUGGUCUGAGAGGACGACCAGCCACACUGGAACUGAGACACGGCCCAGACUCCUACGGGAGGCAGCAGUGGGGAAUUUUGGACAAUGGGCGCAACCCUGAUCCAGCCAUGCCGCGUGCGGGAAGAAGGCCUUCGGGUUGUAAACCGCUUUUGUUCGGGAAGAAAUUCUCUGGGCUAAUACCCCGGGGGGAUGACGGUACCGGAAGAAUAAGCACCGGCUAACUACGUG
Molecule: ribosomal RNA, 484 nt
Filed under: uncultured bacterium
Lineage: Bacteria
Description: partial 16S ribosomal RNA
Rfam family: Bacterial small subunit ribosomal RNA
Source: RNAcentral